This 451-nucleotide ribosomal RNA is filed under the name uncultured bacterium. Its description in RNAcentral is "bacterial SSU rRNA". It matches the Rfam family "Bacterial small subunit ribosomal RNA", at positions 355 to 825 of the family's 1533-position model. The record is from RNAcentral.
UCAAGAAACUUCCACAAUGGGCGAAAGCCUGAUGGAGCGACGUCGCGUGAUGGACGAAGUGCUUCGGCACGUAAACAUCUUUUUAUGUGGGACGAAAUUAUUGACGGUACCACAUGAAUAAGGGGCUCCUAACUCUGUGCCAGCAGGAGCGGUAAUACAGAGGCCCCAAGCGUUAUCCGGAAUCACUGGGCGUAAAGGGUGUCGAGGCGGUCAUGUUAGUCGUUCGUAAAAUCCGUGGGCUCAACCUACGGCCGGCGAGCGAAACGGCAUGACUUGAGGUUGGGAGAGGUGCAUGGAACUCACGGUGUAGGGGUGAAAUCCGUUGAUAUCGUGGGGAACACCAAAGGCGAAGGCAGUGCACUGGCCCAAAUCUGACGCUCACACACGAAAGCUAGGGUAGCGAACGGGAUUAGAUACCCCUGUAGUCCCUGAGCGGGCUGGCAAGGCGCAU